UCAUGAAUGUUGUGCUAAGGCUGAUCCUGAAAGAAAUGAAUGUAUUUUGUCCCAUAAAAAUUCAACUAAAGGAUUUAUCCCUCCCUUGGUUCAUUCAACUGUAGAGGAGGGUUGCAAGGAAUAUCACGAUAACAGACAUGAAGUUCUAACCAAACAUCUUUAUGAGGUGGGCAGAAGAUAUCCUAAAGCACUAAUUGCCUUAAUUCUUCACACAACUGGAGCCUAUGAUAAAAUAUUUCCAGCCUGUUGUGAGGCAGAUAAUAAAGAUACCUGUUUCCGGGAAAAGGCAACAGAAGUCACAAAGAAAUUUAGG
This is a non-coding RNA of Python bivittatus (Burmese python), 313 nucleotides long. Lineage: Eukaryota; Metazoa; Chordata; Lepidosauria; Squamata; Pythonidae. The record is from RefSeq and is a predicted model, not a curated record.